RNAcentral lists this ribosomal RNA (459 nucleotides) under uncultured bacterium. RNAcentral describes it as "partial 16S ribosomal RNA". It matches the Rfam family "Bacterial small subunit ribosomal RNA", at positions 338 to 795 of the family's 1533-position model. The record is from RNAcentral.
CCUACGGGAGGCAGCAGUGAGGAAUAUUGGUCAAUGGGCGCGAGCCUGAACCAGCCAAGCCGCGUGAGGGAGGAAGGUACAGAGUAUCGUAAACCUCUUUUGUCAGGGAACAAAGACUGGGACGCGUCCCCGGAUGAGUGUACCUGAAGAAAAAGCAUCGGCUAACUCCGUGCCAGCAGCCGCGGUAAUACGGAGGAUGCGAGCGUUAUCCGGAUUGAUUGGGUUAAAAGGGUGCGCAGGCGGUCUGUUAAGUCAGCGGUCAAAGCCCGGGGCUCAACCCCGGCCCGCCGUUGAAACUGGCAGUCUCGAGUUGGAGAGAAGUAUGCGGAAUGCGCGGUGUAGCGGUGAAAUGCAUAGAUAUCGCGCAGAACUCCGAUUGCGAAGGCAGCAUGCCGGCUCCACACUGACGCUGAGGCACGAAAGCGUGGGUAUCGAACAGGAUUAGAUACCCCAGUAGUC